This 458-nucleotide ribosomal RNA is filed under the name uncultured bacterium. Its description in RNAcentral is "bacterial SSU rRNA". It matches the Rfam family "Bacterial small subunit ribosomal RNA", at positions 29 to 524 of the family's 1533-position model. The record is from RNAcentral.
AACGAACGCUGGCGGCAUGCCUAACACAUGCAAGUCGAACGGGAUCCUAGCUUGCUAGGUGAGAGUGGCGGACGGGUGAGUAACACGUGGGAAUCUGCCUUUUUGGUUCGGGAUAACCGCGGGAAACUGCGGCUAAUACCGAAUGCCCUCGAGAGAGGAAAGAUUUAUCGCCAGAAGAGGAGCCCGCGUCCGAUUAGGUAGUUGGUGGGGUAAAGGCCUACCAAGCCGACGAUCGGUAGCUGGUCUGAGAGGAUGAUCAGCCACACUGGGACUGAGAUACGGCCCAGACUCCUACGGGAGGCAGCAGUGGGGAAUAUUGGACAAUGGGGGCAACCCUGAUCCAGCAAUGCCGCGUGAGUGAUGAAGGCCUUAGGGUUGUAAAGCUCUUUUGCCAGGGAGAUGAUGACUGUACCUGGAGAAUAAGCCCCGGCUAACUUCGUGCCAGCAGCCGCGGUAAU